Molecule: long non-coding RNA, 543 nt
Organism: Leptidea sinapis
Lineage: Eukaryota; Metazoa; Arthropoda; Insecta; Lepidoptera; Pieridae
Exons: 4
Source: RefSeq, a predicted model, not a curated record
GUGAAAUUCAGCAGGCCUGCUAUGUAAAAGUGUUUUUAGUGAAACGGAAGAAAAUCAGUUGCACUUGGCGUGAACAAUUGGACUUCAGCGUAUUACGGUAAAUGGAAGGAUCCGUUUGUAUCAGUUCAAGCUUCCACAUUUCACACGCCAACCGACGUCCGCAGAGUAAGCAUGAUGUCUAUUACACGGGAAUUCAACUUUACUGACUGUAAAUUUUUGAAUACAAAACUCGUUAUGAUACCCUACGUCGGUGGUAAAACCUCAUUCCUGAUCGUCGUACCAAAUGCUAUAAAUGGACUUAAAGUUCUAUUGGCACAACUGAAGUUAGCUCCGGAAUUGCUGAACAAGGCAAUCGAUGAAAUGAAGCCGAAAAAAGAAGAUAUAGCAAUGCCCAAAUUUAAAAUAGAAUCAAAAAUGGAUCUGCGUAAUAUGCUUGAGAAGGUUGGUGUAAAGCGCAUUUUCAAUAAAUAUGAGUCAGGCUUGAGUGGCAUGGUAAAGGAUAAGAAAGUUUUCGUGUCGAAAGCGACAAAAGCAAUUAUUGAG